RNAcentral lists this ribosomal RNA (252 nucleotides) under uncultured prokaryote. Its description in RNAcentral is "partial 16S rRNA". It matches the Rfam family "Archaeal small subunit ribosomal RNA", at positions 475 to 726 of the family's 1478-position model. The record is from RNAcentral.
ACCGGCAGCUCAAGUGGUGGCCAUUAUUAUUGGGCCUAAAGCGUUCGUAGCCGGUUUGAUAAGUCUCUGGUGAAAUCCCGCAGCUUAACUGUGGGACUUGCUGGAGAUACUAUCAGACUUGAGGUCGGGAGAGGUUAGGGGUACUCCCAGGGUGGGGGUGAAAUGCAAUAAUCGUGGGAGGACGAACUGAGGCGCAGGUGCGUGACUGGAAGGCGCCUGACGGGUAGUACCGUGUUGCAUGGGUGCGAACGU